Microtus ochrogaster (prairie vole) is the source of this 794-nucleotide long non-coding RNA. RefSeq lists it as uncharacterized. The record is from RefSeq and is a predicted model, not a curated record. NCBI's taxonomy places the organism in Eukaryota, Metazoa, Chordata, Mammalia, Rodentia, Cricetidae. The transcript has 3 exons.
GGCGUGUGCCACCACUGCACAGCUUUUUUAUUUUUUAGAUUUAUUUCAUGUAUGUCAAUGGUUUCCCUGCCUGUAUGUCUCUGCACACCACGUGUAUGCGGUACCCGCAGAGGUCGGAAGAGGGUGCUGGAUGCUCUGCAGUUGGAGUUAGACUAGCUGUGAGUGACCAUGGGCUUCACCCUGCAUCCCAGUCCAGCCUCAAACUCAAGAUGCUCUGGCCUGAGGCUCAAGAGUGCUGGGCUCCGGCUGGAACAAGGGAUGCGGGUCCACUUGCCGCACGAGCGUGGCCAUCACCAAAGGUGUCUCCAGAGCCAACCAAUGACAAAAUACCCCAAAUGAAGCAUUUGAACCUUGUCUGUCUUCCCUAAAUAAUACAGCUUAUCUUGAAAAACCUUCCAGAAUAUGUGCAUAGACUCUAAGCAAACGCCAUGCCACUGUACACGAGAUCUGGGCAUCCUCGGAUUCCAAGGACUGACUGCUAUCAAGUAAAGAAGCACCCUACCUGGUCUUUGUUCCCUGUCAAAAUAACAAGACAGAAAAACAAGAAACAUACGAGGUUCAAAGCCAAAUCCAGAUUUCUCUGACACACCAUAAGGCAAGGGAGCAGCCCAAGAAUUUAUGGGUCACAUCUCUAGACACCAUACAGCAGAUUGCUCCAUAUCCCCUUAUCACCUCACAGUGCCUGCAAAUGGACAGGCAGCUCCGGGCAGAAGGCCUCCGCUGCUCUGCAGUCUUCCCACUGAUCAAGCUGAGUGAGGCAUUAGAAUAUCAGGGAAGCAAACAGAAGGCCUCAG